UAUUUUAUUUACUGUACGUCGCUUUGGAUAAAAGCGUCAGCUAAAUGGCAUGUU
This is a regulatory RNA element of Gasterosteus aculeatus (three-spined stickleback), 54 nucleotides long. It matches the Rfam family "UnaL2 LINE 3' element". From Rfam's summary of the family: The eel long interspersed element (LINE) UnaL2 and its partner short interspersed element (SINE) share a conserved 3' tail containing a stem-loop that is critical for their retrotransposition. Lineage: Eukaryota; Metazoa; Chordata; Actinopteri; Perciformes; Gasterosteidae. The record is from Rfam.